RNAcentral lists this ribosomal RNA (460 nucleotides) under uncultured Capnocytophaga sp. RNAcentral's name for it is "bacterial SSU rRNA". It matches the Rfam family "Bacterial small subunit ribosomal RNA", at positions 338 to 795 of the family's 1533-position model. Lineage: Bacteria; Pseudomonadati; Bacteroidota; Flavobacteriia; Flavobacteriales; Flavobacteriaceae. The record is from RNAcentral.
CCUACGGGAGGCUGCAGUGAGGAAUAUUGGACAAUGGUCGGAAGCCUGAUCCAGCCAUGCCGCGUGCAGGAUGACGGCCUUAUGGGUUGUAAACUGCUUUUGUAAGGGAAGAAUAAGAGCUACGCGUAGUUUGAUGACGGUACCUUACGAAUAAGCAUCGGCUAACUCCGUGCCAGCAGCCGCGGUAAUACGGAGGAUGCGAGCGUUAUCCGGAAUCAUUGGGUUUAAAGGGUCCGUAGGCGGGCUAAUAAGUCAGAGGUGAAAGCGCUCAGCUCAACUGAGCAACUGCCUUUGAAACUGUUAGUCUUGAAUGGUUGUGAAGUAGUUGGAAUGUGUAGUGUAGCGGUGAAAUGCUUAGAUAUUACACAGAACACCGAUAGCGAAGGCAUAUUACUAACAAUUAAUUGACGCUGAUGGACGAAAGCGUGGGGAGCAAACAGGAUUAGAUACCCGAGUAGUC